Molecule: long non-coding RNA, 1012 nt
Filed under: Calidris pugnax (ruff)
Lineage: Eukaryota; Metazoa; Chordata; Aves; Charadriiformes; Scolopacidae
Description: lncRNA (ENSCPUG00000015035.1)
Source: RNAcentral
GAACCUUCUCAUGAGUGAUGCUUCCUCUCAGACACCUUUGCUAAGCUAUUACUUUCUUUGCUUUUCUGGCUUUGUUUGUAUCUUCUAAUUCUUCAUAGUUAGUUGCCUACAUUUUCAUGCUGUUUUGUCUAUUUGAAAUAUUUAUUACAUCUGACAAAGGAGUUCCUUAUUCUCUGUGAAUCUUUGAAAACAUAUUUUCUUCUCUCCAUUAAAAAUAACUUACAGUAUAGCAAUUGCAUUGUUUCCUUGGAACAUAUGUGAUAAAAAUAGCUGCACUGCACUUGAUCAUUUCUGUUCCCAUUUGGACGCUAUUCUAUUAUGUGGUGAAGAAUAUAGUAUUAAGGUAGGCACAGAUAUUUUCUAAAGUACCAUGAAAAGUUCUACCUCCUCUAUCUCCAAUGUGAUUUUUUUUUUUUUUUUAGAGAAUAAACUGUCAUUUUGAAUGACAUAUUUCCACAGUCAAAAAUAAUGGCUUUCAUAACCAUAAUUUCAUAGAUUUAAAAAAAUUAAGUUUGCCAAAAUUCCUUUGUGGCAUUUUUUUUGUUUUUCAUUUUUUUAAAAUUAGAGCUGUAAGAAAACCUUGGCUGUAGAGAAUUUGCAGCGCCCAGAAAACCAGGAGGGAGCAUAAGUUUUUAGUGUUUCAACACUUCAUUUUAAUGAUUUGUAUUAUCUCCUUGUUUUGCAGGGAGCUCGUGGGCUUGAUGGUGAGCCUGGUCCUCAAGGUCUUCCUGGUGUACCUGGGGAUCAAGGACAGAGAGGUCCACUGGGAGAGGCAGGUCCAAAGGGAGAAAGGGUGAGCACAGACAAAUUUCAACUCAUGUUCAGUUGCAAACAUGGGUUAUUUAUAGCAUAUAAACAUGCAACAUAAUUGGUACUCUCAAAGUAAUGGCAUCUGAAUUUGCAUCUGUCAUUUCAAUGUGUUUAUUUUAAUUUUUAAAAAGUAUUAUUAUUCUUAGGGCCCUCAAGGUACAAGAGGAAUAAAUGGUCUCCCUGGGCCUAAAGGAGAGUGUGU